UGGGGAAUUGUUCGCAAUGGGCGCAAGCCUGACGACGCAACGCCGCGUGGAGGAUGAAGAUCUUCGGGUCGUAAACUCCUUUCGAUUGGGAAGAAUUCCCCCGGUGUGAACAACACCGGGGGUUGACGGUACCGAGAGAAGAAGCCCCGGCUAACUCCGUGCCAGCAGCCGCGGUAAUACGGGGGGGGCAAGCGUUGUUCGGAAUUACUGGGCGUAAAGGGCUCGUAGGCGGCCAUCUAAGUCAGACGUGAAAUCCCUCGGCUUAACCGGGGAACUGCGUCUGAUACUGGACGGCUUGAGUUUGGGAGAGGGAUGCGGAAUUCCAGGUGUAGCGGUGAAAUGCGUAGAUAUCUGGAGGAACACCGGUGGCGAAGGCGGCAUCCUGGACCAACACUGACGCUGAGGAGCGAAAGCCAGGGGAGCAAACGGGAUUAGAUACCCCCGUAGUCC
This 450-nucleotide ribosomal RNA is filed under the name uncultured bacterium. RNAcentral describes it as "bacterial SSU rRNA". It matches the Rfam family "Bacterial small subunit ribosomal RNA", at positions 355 to 796 of the family's 1533-position model. The record is from RNAcentral.